GAGACUUAGGUAAGAAAGGAGCUGCUAACUCUUUUUCUGAGCGGUUUAACUCCGUUCAUGUCUUU
This 65-nucleotide transfer RNA is filed under the name Bosmina fatalis. RNAcentral describes it as "tRNA-Ser". The record is from RNAcentral. Lineage: Eukaryota; Metazoa; Arthropoda; Branchiopoda; Diplostraca; Bosminidae.